This 459-nucleotide ribosomal RNA is filed under the name uncultured bacterium. RNAcentral's name for it is "bacterial SSU rRNA". It matches the Rfam family "Bacterial small subunit ribosomal RNA", at positions 30 to 507 of the family's 1533-position model. The record is from RNAcentral.
AUUGAACGCUGGCGGCAUGCCUUACACAUGCAAGUCGAACGGCAGCACGGGGCAACCUGGUGGCGAGUGGCGAACGGGUGAGUAAUGCAUCGGAACGUGCCAUUGAGUGGGGGAUAACGUAGCGAAAGUUGCGCUAAUACCGCAUAUUCUGUGAGCAGGAAAGCAGGGGACCGCAAGGCCUUGCGCUCUUUGAGCGGCCGAUGUCAGAUUAGCUAGUUGGUGAGGUAACGGCUUACCAAGGCGACGAUCUGUAGCGGGUCUGAGAGGAUGAUCCGCCACACUGGAACUGAGACACGGUCCCGACUCCUACGGGGGGGCAGCAGUGAGGAAUAUUCGGCAAUGGGGGCAACCCUGACCGAGCAACGCCGCGUGGAGGAUGACGGUUUUCGGAUUGUAAACUCCUUUUCUCAGGGAAGAGCGAGGACGGUACCUGGGGAAUAAGUCACGGCUAACUACGUG